Molecule: ribosomal RNA, 441 nt
Filed under: uncultured bacterium
Lineage: Bacteria
Description: partial 16S ribosomal RNA
Rfam family: Bacterial small subunit ribosomal RNA
Source: RNAcentral
CCUACGGGGAGCAGCAGUGGGGAAUAUUGCACAAUGGGGGAAACCCUGAUGCAGCGACGCCGCGUGAGUGAAGAAGUAUUUCGGUAUGUAAAGCUCUGUCAGCAGGGAAGAAGCAAGACGGUACCUGACUAAGAAGCCCCGGCUAACUACGUGCCAGCAGCCGCGGUAAUACGUAGGGGGCAAGCCGUAUCCGGAUUUACUGGGUGUAAAGGGAGCGUAGACGGUAUGGCAAGUCUGAAGUGAAAAGCCAGGGGUUAACCCUGGGACUGCUUUGGAAACUGGUAGACUAGAGUGCUGGAGAGGUAAGUGGAAUUCCUAGUGUAGCGGUGAAAUGCGUAGAUAUUAGGAGGAACACCAGUGGCGAAGGCGGCUUACUGGACAGUAACUGACGUUGAGGCUCGAAAGCGUGGGGAGCAAACAGGAUUAGAUACCCUGGUAGUC